This 343-nucleotide unclassified non-coding RNA is filed under the name soil metagenome. RNAcentral's name for it is "partial contains 5.8S ribosomal RNA, internal transcribed spacer 2, and large subunit ribosomal RNA". The stretch from base 1 to 120 matches the Rfam family "5.8S ribosomal RNA", at positions 35 to 154 of the family's 154-position model. The record is from RNAcentral.
GAUGAAGAACGUAGCGAAAUGCGAUAAGUAAUGUGAAUUGCAGAAUUCAGUGAAUCAUCGAAUCUUUGAACGCACAUUGCGCCCGCUAGUAUUCUGGCGGGCAUGCCUGUCCGAGCGUCAUUUCAACCCUCAAGCCCCCGGGCUUGGUGUUGGGGAUCGGCGAGCCUCCGCGCCCGCCGUCCCCUAAAUCUAGUGGCGGACCCGUCGUGGCCUCCUCUGCGAAGUAGUGAUAUUCCGCAUCGGAGAGCGACGAGCCCCUGCCGUUAAACCCCCAACUUUCCAAGGUUGACCUCAGAUCAGGUAGGAAUACCCGCUGAACUUAAGCAUAUCAAUAAGCGGAGGA